CCACGGGUGGCAGAGAGGCUAAAUGCACUUGGCUGUAAACCAAGCGUCUCCUAGAAGACUCCGGAGGUUCGAAUCCUUCCCCGUGGACCA
This 90-nucleotide transfer RNA is filed under the name Acidobacteriota bacterium. RNAcentral's name for it is "tRNA-Tyr". It matches the Rfam family "tRNA". Rfam says of the family: Transfer RNA (tRNA) molecules are approximately 80 nucleotides in length. Their secondary structure includes four short double-helical elements and three loops (D, anti-codon, and T loops). The record is from RNAcentral. Lineage: Bacteria; Pseudomonadati; Acidobacteriota.